UUUUACGGAGAGUUUGAUCCUGGCUCAGGAUGAACGCUGGCGGCGUGCUUAACACAUGCAAGUCGAACGAUGAAGCCCAGCUUGCUGGGUGGAUUAGUGGCGAACGGGUGAGUAACACGUGAGUAACCUGCCCUUAACUCUGGGAUAAGCCUGGGAAACUGGGUCUAAUACCGGAUAGGAGCGCCUACCGCAUGGUGGGUGUUGGAAAGAUUUAUCGGUUUUGGAUGGACUCGCGGCCUAUCAGCUUGUUGGUGAGGUAAUGGCUCACCAAGGCGACGACGGGUAGCCGGCCUGAGAGGGUGACCGGCCACACUGGGACUG
RNAcentral lists this ribosomal RNA (321 nucleotides) under Micrococcus luteus. RNAcentral's name for it is "bacterial SSU rRNA". It matches the Rfam family "Bacterial small subunit ribosomal RNA", at positions 1 to 321 of the family's 1533-position model. The record is from RNAcentral. Lineage: Bacteria; Bacillati; Actinomycetota; Actinomycetes; Micrococcales; Micrococcaceae.